RNAcentral lists this ribosomal RNA (460 nucleotides) under uncultured bacterium. Its description in RNAcentral is "partial 16S ribosomal RNA". It matches the Rfam family "Bacterial small subunit ribosomal RNA", at positions 338 to 795 of the family's 1533-position model. The record is from RNAcentral.
CCUACGGGUGGCAGCAGUGAGGAAUAUUGGUCAAUGGACGAAAGUCUGAACCAGCCAAGUAGCGUGCAGGAUGACUGCCCUAUGGGUUGUAAACUUCUUUUAUAUGGGAAUAAAAUGCUCCACGUGUGGGAUUUUGUAUGUACCGUAUGAAUAAGGAUCGGCUAACUCCGUGCCAGCAGCCGCGGUAAUACGGAGGAUCCGAGCGUUAUCCGGAUUUAUUGGGUUUAAAGGGUGCGUAGGUGGAUUGUUAAGUUAGCGGUGAAAUUUCGAGGCUCAACCUUGGAAUUGCAGUUAAAACUGGAAGUCUAGAGUGCAGGAGAGGUAGGCGGAAUUCGUGGUGUAGCGGUGAAAUGCUUAGAUAUCACGAAGAACUCCGAUUGCGAAGGCAGCUCACUGGACUGCAACUGACACUGAGGCUCGAAAGUGUGGGGAUCGAACAGGAUUAGAUACCCGAGUAGUC